This 283-nucleotide ribosomal RNA is filed under the name uncultured microorganism. RNAcentral's name for it is "partial 16S ribosomal RNA". It matches the Rfam family "Bacterial small subunit ribosomal RNA", at positions 9 to 292 of the family's 1533-position model. The record is from RNAcentral.
GAGUUUAAUCGUGGCUCAGAUUGAACGCUGGCGGCAGGCUUAGCACAUGCAAGUCGAGCGGGGAGAUUGCUUCGGUAAUUGACCUAGCGGCGGACGGGUGAGUAAUACUUAGGAAUCUGCCUAUUAAUGGGGGACAACAUCUCGAAAGGGAUGCUAAUACCGCAUACGCCCUACGGGGAAAGGCAGGGGAGUCACUUGUGACCUUGCGUUAAUAGAUGAGCCUAAGUCGGAUUAGCUAGUUGGUGGGGUAAAGGCCUACCAAGGCGACGAUCUGUAGCGGGUC